Molecule: long non-coding RNA, 248 nt
Filed under: Lathyrus oleraceus (garden pea)
Lineage: Eukaryota; Viridiplantae; Streptophyta; Magnoliopsida; Fabales; Fabaceae
Description: Pisum sativum (pea) long non-coding RNA (PSAT_LNC023183)
Source: RNAcentral
GACGGAUAUCGAAAAUAAAGACAAAUCCAAAAGGAGAAUCCUCGAUAACAGUUGGUCCUAAAGGACGAGUGAAAGAAAGAAAUCCAGAUAUAAUCCAUCAGAAUGAGCAUAGUGAAGAUAACAAUCAUAUUGAUUCUGAACCUUAACCUACUUUUCCAAAAUUAUCCCACCUUAACCUUAGCCCUGUUACAACCAUAAAGACCUCAAAGAGUGUGUGUAUCGUGCUUCUUGACAUCAAAAAGAGAAUU